GUGAUUUUUAGAGGGAAUCCAUUCUAAAUAACACAUUUUCUUCUUGGACGCGAGAUCCGUUUUAUUUCGGGGCAUACCAUACUCUUUAUGACACAUUAAUUAUUAUUUCUAUAACUGAUGCAUUGCAUCUAUAUGUAUUGACCGAAAAGAAGUCAAACUGAAGCAAGAUAGAGUCCUCUUUAACUUUACCUACCGAUUGAGGUCAAAUUUGAUGUGGGUUGCAUUAGUUUUCUUGAAAAUUUAAGCGUCAAUGUUACAAUUCUGGUAUGUUUGUUUGUUUGGGAUUCAUUAUUGAGCCUAAAGUCAUAAACUAAAGUUGGUUAUGUAAGUUUUGUCAAAGCUAAACGCUCUAAUUAGUUGGUUUGAGCCCAAAAGGUCAAAAUAUCUUCAUGAUAUAUAAUGUUACUUGAAAUUUUUACAAUGUUAUGUGCAUAUCUUAUGAAAAACUUAUGGAAACUUACCUGGUAAUUGUGAUCUUCAGGUAUGUUGGGAAUUGCUUCGGGAAGUUUGUACGUUGAAAAACCUUUGUUACACAAUCACCGGCAUAUACCGAUGAAUGUGGAUGACUAUUCAUGAGUAUGUCGAGUCCUAGAAAGAAAGGUCAACAUGAUUAUAUAAAUCACUAAGUUAUGUACACUUUUAACUUUGAUUUUUACUGUUUUACUCCAAAUUUUCGUCAAUUUUCGGCAGCGAAUUUUAGAGAUGAUGAUAAUUGUGAGCAGCACAUCUGAGCCGGAGCUGCUGCUAUUUGUAAGACAUUAAGUUGUUUGGCAUGAAUAAAAUAGAAACCACCAAAACCCCAAUAAAUCAUUUUGAUUUGUGAAUCCAGUAUUACAAAGUAAUUUAAGAGAUCCCCUUUUGCAACGUUGGAUUGAUGAUGGCGUCCAUAUCUGUCAAAGUGCACUUGUGUUCGUUAUUUAAGAAAGACUUUUCUAAUUUGAUGGUCAUCCGGUACGCUCAACUCUUUUUAUUGCGAAUGAGUCAUUUUGGUUUGGGUAUAAUCUCAAACGGGUCAAA
Molecule: long non-coding RNA, 1017 nt
Organism: Helianthus annuus (common sunflower)
Lineage: Eukaryota; Viridiplantae; Streptophyta; Magnoliopsida; Asterales; Asteraceae
Exons: 2
Source: RefSeq, a predicted model, not a curated record